CCGCUAGCGUAUGACCUAGAGCUUGGUCCUGGAAGAUGGAAAAAGGGCUCCCUGAUGUUUUAGUUUGACGGGUGAGUAACACGUGGGUAACCUGCCUGUAAGACUGGGAUAACUCCGGGAAACCGGGGCUAAUACCGGAUGGUUGUUUGAACCGCAUGGUUCAGACAUAAAAGGUGGCUUCGGCUACCACUUACAGAUGGACCCGCGGCGCAUUAGCUAGUUGGUGAGGUAACGGCUCACCAAGGCGACGAUGCGUAGCCGACCUGAGAGGGUGAUCGGCCACACUGGGACUGAGACACGGCCCAGACUCCUACGGGAGGCAGCAGUAGGGAAUCUUCCGCAAUGGACGAAAGUCUGACGGAGCAACGCCGCGUGAGUGAUGAAGGUUUUCGGAUCGUAAAGCUCUGUUGUUAGGGAAGAACAAGUGCCGUUCAAAUAGGGCGGCACCUUGACGGUACCUAACCAGAAAGCCACGGCUAACUACGUGCCAGCAGCCGCGGUAAUACGUAGGUGGCAAGCGUUGUCCGGAAUUAUUGGGCGUAAAGGGCUCGCAGGCGGUUUCUUAAGUCUGAUGUGAAAGCCCCCGGCUCAACCGGGGAGGGUCAUUGGAAACUGGGGAACUUGAGUGCAGAAGAGGAGAGUGGAAUUCCACGUGUAGCGGUGAAAUGCGUAGAGAUGUGGAGGAACACCAGUGGCGAAGGCGACUCUCUGGUCUGUAACUGACGCUGAGGAGCGAAAGCGUGGGGAGCGAACAGGAUUAGAUACCCUGGUAGUCCACGCCGUAAACGAUGAGUGCUAAGUGUUAGGGGGUUUCCGCCCCUUAGUGCUGCAGCUAACGCAUUAAGCACUCCGCCUGGGGAGUACGGGUCGCAAGACUGAAACUCAAAAGGGAAUUGAACGGGGGGG
Molecule: ribosomal RNA, 906 nt
Filed under: Bacillus velezensis
Lineage: Bacteria; Bacillati; Bacillota; Bacilli; Caryophanales; Bacillaceae
Description: bacterial SSU rRNA
Rfam family: Bacterial small subunit ribosomal RNA
Source: RNAcentral